Molecule: signal recognition particle RNA, 282 nt
Filed under: Physeter macrocephalus (sperm whale)
Lineage: Eukaryota; Metazoa; Chordata; Mammalia; Artiodactyla; Physeteridae
Description: Physeter catodon (sperm whale) Metazoan signal recognition particle RNA (ENSPCTG00005000742.1)
Rfam family: Metazoan signal recognition particle RNA
About the family: The signal recognition particle (SRP) is a universally conserved ribonucleoprotein. It is involved in the co-translational targeting of proteins to membranes.
Source: RNAcentral
ACUGGGUGUGGUGGCCCGAGCCUGUAAUUCCAUCUACUCGGGAGGCUGAGGCAGGAGGAUUGCUUGAGCCCAGGAGUUCUGGGCUGUAGUGUAUAUGCGUAUCAGGUGUCUGCACAAAGUUUGGCAUCAAUAUGGUGACCUCCCAGGAGUGGGGGACCAGAAGGUUGCCUUAAAGAGGGGUGAACAGGCCCAGGUCAGAAAUGGAGCAGGUCAAAACUCCCGUGCUGAUCAUAGCAUUUUGUACCUCAUAAUACCCUACCCAUAUUUUGUCCCUCCCCACUU